This 470-nucleotide long non-coding RNA is filed under the name Vigna radiata. RNAcentral's name for it is "long non-coding RNA (VRAD_LNC018587)". Lineage: Eukaryota; Viridiplantae; Streptophyta; Magnoliopsida; Fabales; Fabaceae. The record is from RNAcentral.
UCCUCACCAAGGAAAGUGUUUCACUCAAGCACACAGGUGUAUAUUGAGGUGACUCAUUCUCUCUACUAUCACAAUGUCACACAAAUUAACUUUGCCUUUCAUUUAACCAUAAUCAAUCAUACUCACAAGGAGGUUAUCAUCACAAGGACUUUUCAUGGCUUGUAACGUGGUUAAGUUAAGAAGAACAUUGGUUUUUCUGGAUCACAAAAUCCUUGAGUUAAGAGAGUUAUUCACAUUUAUAAUUUAAACACAAACUCUCUUUAAACAACCAAUCUCACUCAUUCCCAACUUUCCUUUUUCUUUGCAUUGAGCUUUUCUUCUCAUUUUAUCUUUUUUUAUCUUUUCUAUCUUUUUCAUAUUUUCAUGUUUUACUCAACACAUUAGCUCAAUGCUUAUCUUUUUCUUUUUCAACUUUCGCAACAGCCCCAAACUUGAACCUUUAUAAAUACCACGCAAUAAUUCUCAACUUA